Non-coding RNA from Delphinapterus leucas (beluga whale), 828 nucleotides. The record is from RefSeq and is a predicted model, not a curated record. NCBI's taxonomy places the organism in Eukaryota, Metazoa, Chordata, Mammalia, Artiodactyla, Monodontidae.
CAGGUGGAUCCUUAUCCACUGCGCCACCAGGGAAGUCCCCUGUCUCUUCUUUGAAUUGUGAAAUGAAACUUUCAGAAUAGUGAGUAAGUAAGUACCUAUGUCCAGCUGAAAAUAAUUCAAAGUGAACCCUGGUGUAUUCAUCACCCAGGACAAGAACUAGAAAAUUGGCUGCCCUUCAGAAGACCUUCCUGUGUCCCUCCCGCUCUCCCUGCCAGAGGUGGUACAUUCACAUGGGAAAUCUCCUUCCCAUUCUUGUCCUCAUCUGCAAAGACACCCACUCCGCGUGCCUUAGGAAAUCCUGCUGACUUCACUGCAGAAUACAUCCAGACUCUGACUGCUCUCACUGCCUUCGCUCCCUCCAUCCGAGCCGCCAUCAUUUCUCACUUGGAUUAUCAACAGCCUCCCAACCUCAUCCCCCCUUCAGCCUGAUCUCAACACAGCAGCCAGGGUGAUACUAUUAAAAUGCACGUCUGCUCGAAACCCUCCAAUGGCUUCCCGAUUCACUCGGAGUGCGUGCCAGCAUCCCUAUAAUGACCCGCAAGGCUCUAAACAGCCUGGCCUCCUCUUUUUUACCUCUCUCUCCUCAUUUCCCACUGCUCUUUGCCUUCACUGGUUCUAGUCCAGCCACACUGGCCUCCUUGCCAUUUCCCAAACACCCCAGCCACACUCCUGCCUCUGUGCCUUUGCACUUGCCCUUCCCUCUGUUUCAAAUGCCCUUCCCCCUCCACGACUCAUUCUCUUGUCUAUUAGAGCUUAAGUCUGGUAUCCCUUUCUCAGUAAGGCCUGCCCUGGCCACCCUGCUUAAAAUUGUACAUUUUCUCACGUCUU